UCACCGCUUGCGCCGGCAGUCUCCCUAGAGUUCCCGGCAUGAUCCGCUGGCAACUAAGGACAGGGGUUGCGCUCGUUGCGCCACUUAAGGCAACACCUCACGGCACGAGCUGACGACAGCCAUGCACCACCUGUGCAGGCUCCGAAGAGCGCCGUCUUUCAACGGUUUCACCCUGCAUGUCAAACCCAGGUAAGGUUCUUCGCGUCGCAUCGAAUUAAACCACAUGCUCCACCGCUUGUGCGGGCCCCCGUCAAUUCCUUUGAGUUUCAGCCUUGCGGCCGUACUCCCCAGGCGGGACACUUACUGCGUUAGCGACGGCACCGGGAGGGUCGCUCCCCCCGACGCCUAGUGUCCAUCGUUUACGGCGUGGACUAC
RNAcentral lists this unclassified non-coding RNA (375 nucleotides) under uncultured bacterium. Its description in RNAcentral is "contains 16S-23S intergenic spacer region". The record is from RNAcentral.